RNAcentral lists this signal recognition particle RNA (286 nucleotides) under Angiostrongylus costaricensis. Its description in RNAcentral is "Metazoan signal recognition particle RNA". It matches the Rfam family "Metazoan signal recognition particle RNA". From Rfam's summary of the family: The signal recognition particle (SRP) is a universally conserved ribonucleoprotein. It is involved in the co-translational targeting of proteins to membranes. Lineage: Eukaryota; Metazoa; Nematoda; Chromadorea; Rhabditida; Metastrongylidae. The record is from Rfam by way of RNAcentral.
ACUGGGUGUUGUGGCGAACAGCUGUGAGCCAGCAUCAAGAUAGUAGAUUGAUAUGGAUGAAGUGAGGGCAGAGGCUCCACGGGUCCACAGAAUGCGGUGAGUGGGGGUCCGCAUCAAGUGUUUCUUCUCAGGUUUAGGCAGCAGCUUCCUAGGCGGUUAAGGAGAGGUGCAUGGCUCAGGGCUGAAAGGCAGUAGAGAAAAACACUCGCACAAUGUAGUGGCCGAAUUAUACCCGUGAGCACUUAGACAACCGCGACCUUUUCGACACCUUCAGGAUGCCGAUCGC